RNAcentral lists this ribosomal RNA (253 nucleotides) under uncultured bacterium. Its description in RNAcentral is "partial 16S ribosomal RNA". It matches the Rfam family "Bacterial small subunit ribosomal RNA", at positions 524 to 776 of the family's 1533-position model. The record is from RNAcentral.
UACAGAGGGUGCAAGCGUUAAUCGGAAUUACUGGGCGUAAAGCGUGCGUAGGCGGUUCGUUAAGUUCGUUGUGAAAGCCCCGGGCUCAACCUGGGAAUGGCAAUGGAAACUGGCGGGCUGGAGUAUGGCAGAGGGGGGUGGAAUUCCGCGUGUAGCAGUGAAAUGCGUAGAGAUGCGGAGGAACACCGAUGGCGAAGGCAGCCCCCUGGGCCAAUACUGACGCUCAGGCACGAAAGCGUGGGGAGCAAACAGG